CCUACGGGGCGCAGCAGUGGGGAAUAUUGGACAAUGGGCGAAAGCCUGAUCCAGCCAUGCCGCGUGUGUGAAGAAGGCCUUCGGGUUGUAAAGCACUUUCAGUGGGGAAGAAAGCCUUGGGGCUAAUACCCUCGAGGAAGGACAUCACCCACAGAAGAAGCACCGGCUAACUCCGUGCCAGCAGCCGCGGUACUACGGAGGGUGCGAGCGUUAAUCGGAAUUACUGGGCGUAAAGCGCGCGUAGGCGGUCUGAUAAGCCGGUUGUGAAAGCCCCGGGCUCAACCUGGGAACGGCAUCCGGAACUGUCAGGCUAGAGUGCAGGAGAGGAAGGUAGAAUUCCCGGUGUAGCGGUGAAAUGCGUAGAGAUCGGGAGGAAUACCAGUGGCGAAGGCGGCCUUCUGGACUGACACUGACGCUGAGGUGCGAAAGCGUGGGUAGCAAACAGGAUUAGAUACCCCAGUAGUC
Molecule: ribosomal RNA, 465 nt
Filed under: Vreelandella stevensii
Lineage: Bacteria; Pseudomonadati; Pseudomonadota; Gammaproteobacteria; Oceanospirillales; Halomonadaceae
Description: partial 16S ribosomal RNA
Rfam family: Bacterial small subunit ribosomal RNA
Source: RNAcentral